Pollicipes pollicipes is the source of this 419-nucleotide long non-coding RNA. RefSeq lists it as uncharacterized. Lineage: Eukaryota; Metazoa; Arthropoda; Thecostraca; Pollicipedomorpha; Pollicipedidae. The record is from RefSeq and is a predicted model, not a curated record. The transcript is spliced from 2 exons.
GGCAAUGACCUCGCCAACAAGCUGGGCUUCGUUUACAUGGAAUGCUCCGCGAAGGAAAACCAGAACAUCGACGACGCGUUCUUCUACCUAGCAAACGAGUGGCACAAGAUGUACUCGAACGGUGUGAACUCGACGCUGAAUGCUGCUUAGGAAUGGGCGUGAAGCAGCACUCAAAUGCAUGAAGCCACCAAGACCGCGACGCCGCCUGUUAACCCAUAUCGCUGUUAUGAACGUGUGACUCGGUUGGUGCGGUUGUGUGGAAUCAGAGCUGGGCGCAAACAAUAAGGAUAAAGGAGCAAGGUGGCUCGUCAACGCGUUGGCCAACACAUGGUGCUUCAGCCGUGACGAGAUCGUGUGGUCACGGAAGUAGAAUGAGCAGGGCGGUGGCCUUGCUUUCGGUGAUAAACAUUAUGUAACAG